This 3041-nucleotide long non-coding RNA is filed under the name Homo sapiens (human). Its description in RNAcentral is "HSALNT0356540". Lineage: Eukaryota; Metazoa; Chordata; Mammalia; Primates; Hominidae. The record is from RNAcentral.
GGUUGUGCCCACUCGGCACGACCCAGGUUCCAUGCUACAGGCCUCUACUUGUCCAGACCUGAGGGUCAGAUUCAGAUGGUGCAAAUGUUUAAGACCUGGGUCUUCAACGAGAUGAAUUAUCAGCUAUUUCAUAGCUGCAGUGUUGGAUAUGCCGAGACGAUAAAAGCAACAGCAAUCAGAAUCAACAGUUGAAACGACAUGGCAGACGCUGUGAAUGCUAUGAACUGCUGUGCUGAGCAGCAGGAUUCCUGUGUCCUGGCGCAAUGCCCAUGGGGAUUCAUGCUUUCAGAGGGUCACGCCUCAGGAACACGUAGAAGGGCAAGCAUUUCAUCUGGCAGGGCACUGAUUUAAUCUGCACGCAUGUUUGGCUGUAAAACUAGCUCCUCCCCCUUACCAUUUUUGAGUCGCUGCCGGACUCAAAUUCCACAGAUUCUGGAAGGUGUCCAGGAACUCGUUGAUUUGUCAAACUUAUGGCUACACACAGCUGGAAUGGAGACGGACUCCACUGAGGAGACUCAUACAGGACAGGAGGGAAUUUUAAGAGGAUAACCCUGAGAUUGAAAACAUCAAACCAAACCUGAAGCACUGAGAGGUUGGGUAACCAGCUCUGGUCACUGAGUUGGUGAGGGAUGGAUUCAGAAGAGGUCUCCAAUUGUGACACCGCAGAGGACCUGCUCUUGGCCACUACACUCUACCAGCUCUGCAAGAAGGGGGAAGAAAAUAGGGCUGUUUUGAGGAGAUGUGGCUGAGAAAACAGAAAAAGAGAAUUACAGGCCUGAAAUCCCAGCACUCUGGGAGGCUGAGGCCCCUGGCGCUGGUUCUCUCUGGAGGUUGAGUUUCCGUGGGGAGAGAAGAGUGCCCAGCGUGACCACCGUUGGCUGACUUCCCAUGCCUUAUUCCUUGUUUCCCCCGCUGGGGCCCAGCCCACCAGCCCCGCAGUGCAUGAAGCCACUUAUCACCACGGUUCCCAGAGAGGACGGGCUGGCCCAAGUCUGCAUUGUCACCUGCUCUGGGGAAAACAAAGCCCUCUCCCCCGCCCUCCCCGCAGCAUGCUGGGCACAGGGCCAGCCCGUUCUAUGUUUUCAGUAAAUUUUCAAACAUGCUGGUUUUGGUGGCAGCUUUUGCAGUGAUUAUCUCAUUAGGGGCUUGGCCCUGAAACACCUUAUUUAUUGUGGAUUGAAAAAAGUUCACCUUUUCAAGCAAAAAAAAAAACAAAAAAAAACAAACAAAAAAAAAACAGAAGAAAGAAAUAAAAGAACCAGACUGUAGUUUCCCUGGAAAAUUUUCGCUUGUGGGAAAAUACCUCCCCGGCCCGUAGAGAGACGCCAUCACCAACAGUGUGGAGUUAUCAGAUGGGACUGGUCCAGCUUUGUGGGGCCGGGGCACACAGUGCCAAUGUCCAGGUAGUUUCCAAACCGUGUUUUGUUUCCUCUGUCCUCUUUAUAAACCCACGGAUUGAACCUCAUGGGCCCACAAGUUCCUGAUUGCUUCGUAUAUAUUGUACAGAUUUUUUCAGGAAAAUAAAAUAGAUCUUGCUCUACCCUGACAGAGCAGGGCCGAUAUUCUCUAGAAGAGAGGAGAACUCUAGAAUGGAUGGCAGCACUCUGAGUGUGUAACCCAAACAGCAUGCUGAAAUAGUAAAACUCUGCCGCAGGGGCAGAUGGCUGCUGGGAGAAUAUUUAUAGCAGGGAUCUAGAAAUAACCGUAAGGGAAAAGCCUUCUGAGGAGGAACGGAACAAGAGUCUUCGGGGUGGCACUUGGAGACACUCUUGCUCUUGCCUGAGGUCCUGGAGGGCUGCAGGCCGACCGCUGCACGGGAGAGAAUAUACGUGGUAUUCACAGGGUACACAGAAGUCAUAAUACUUCAUGUAGAUCUGUGCCACACAGAUGUGAGAGCUAGGACUUGGAAACAGGAAGAGAAGUGGGAGGAUGAUUAGGAGCGUAAUUGGUAAAUGUAGUACAGUCAAGGCAGACGCUGUAAAAGGACCGGGCACUGCAGAGCUGCAGGACAAGAGCCUGGGGACACGACAGUCAACCAGCCCGUGGGCAUCAUGGAAACAGCACUUUGCAGGCACCUGAGUGAAGCACAGGAAGGAAAUGCAGACACAGGUGAAGGAGCACGGGGUUGGGUUAGAGCCAGGCAGCAUCCCCCCAGCCGCUCCAUGCUAAAGCCUUCAUCGAUUGCCCAGAGAGUGGGGGUUCUCAGUUAACGUUGGAACCAUACAGCAAUGAGGCCUGGGUACUACUUGUAAUUUUCUGUUUAUUUCUAACUUUAUGAACUGCGUCAAGUAUACUUCCUAGCAUGGGUUCAGUAUUUUGCAACAAAUCUUUCUGCCGUGGAUAUAAAUUCAUGAGCUUCAGGUUUCAUUAAAGAGAAGUACACAAAUGAAGUACCCAGACUAACAUUUGAAAAUUUAAUUUUAUGUUUGUUUUUAUUUUUUAAGGGACAGGGUUUCACUAUGCUCAGGCUGGACUCAAACUCCUGGGCACAAGUGAUCCUCCUGCCUCAGCCUCCUGAGUAGCCGGGACCAUAGGCACACACCACCACGCCCAGCUCAAACUAACAUUUGACUGCCUUGUGAAAUAUUACCUAGUCACUAUCCCAGGUCCCUGACAGCAUAGACCAGCAAAACAUUAGAAUGACACCAGACCUAUUAUAACUGCAAGCCAUGAACAGGAUUUCAAGAAAAGAGAUGGAAGAAUGUUCAGAUUCCUAAAAAUCUUCUUAAAAGAGAACUCCUAGCUUUCCACAAAAUUCACUUAAUUUCUUAAGUGAUUUUUAUCUUUUAAAAGCACAAUAAAAAGCAAUCAGAUGUUGUGUGUCUGUGCAUCUGUACAGCAGUAAAGGUAUCUCUCACAUGGCAUUAAAAAAAAGGCAAACAAAUCCAACACACCACUAGAACUCAAAUUUGGAGAAAAUAGCUGCAGGAAAAAAUUGCGCUGUGUGUAUAAAGGUUUUUUUUAAAGAGUGUCUUUUCCUGAACUGACAUUUCCAUUCUUAGUUUUUUGGUUUUGUUUUGUUUUGUUGUUGUUUUGAGACG